Molecule: long non-coding RNA, 458 nt
Organism: Gadus macrocephalus (Pacific cod)
Lineage: Eukaryota; Metazoa; Chordata; Actinopteri; Gadiformes; Gadidae
Exons: 3
Source: RefSeq, a predicted model, not a curated record
GCUAAACCCUAUCCGGUUUAGCACUGACAAGUUGGCUGCAAUGGAUCGCAUUGUUCCAUCCAACCUUGACGUCCCCAUGGGGAAUCGCUCAAAGAAACGGAAGGUGGCACAUGGAACCACGGCUGUGGUCUCCAAAGGAAAGAAGGCCCGCCUUGAGGCACUUCAAACUCCAGCAAGGAUUGCCAAACCUUCGAAGCUGGUACCUCCCCCUCGACCUGUGCCAGAAGCUGCUGUACCAGCCACUCUGGAGGGCAGCGUCUUUGUGCCUUCGAGCAAGGUAAUUUGCAUUCAACAUGUGAUGAUUACACACAUUCAGUGAAUAGAGUGCGGUUCUCUAUUCUUUUGAUAUUUUCUCUAAGUUCCCUUUAAGAAAGUGUAGUUUUGUGUUUCCAUUUCUCAAUUGUAAUGUACAUAUAAUUCUUACUAUGUCAUUACAGUUUGCUCAACCGGAGGGGGAU